UGCUAAUACCGAAUAUGAUCUACGGAUUAAAGGAGCCCUCUUCUUGAAAGGUUUCGCUAUAGGAUGAGCCCGCGUGAGAUUAGCUAGUUGGUAAGGUAAUGGCUUACCAAGGCGACGAUCUCUAGCUGGUUUGAGAGGAUGAUCAGCCACACUGGGACUGAGACACGGCCCAGACUCCUACGGGAGGCAGCAGUGGGGAAUAUUGCACAAUGAGCGAAAGCUUGAUGCAGCCAUACCGCGUGUGUGAAGAAGGCCCGAGGGUUGUAAAGCACUUUCAAUUGGGAGGAAGAUAGUAUAGUUAAUACCUAUAUUGUUUGACGUUACCUUUAGAAGAAGCACCGGCUAACUCUGUGCCAGCAGCCGCGGUAAUACAGAGGGUGCAAGCGUUAUUCGGAAUUACUGGGCGUAAAGCGCGCGUAGGCGGAUUAGUAAGUCAGUUGUGAAAGCCCUGGGCUCAACCUAGGAACUGCAUCUGAUACUGCUAGUCUAGAGUUUAGUAGAGGGAAGGGGAAUUCCAGGUGUAGCAGUGAAAUGCGUAGAUAUCUGGAGGAACAUCAGUGGCGAAGGCGCCUUCCUGGACUAAAACUGACGCUGAGGUGCGAAAGCGUGGGUAGCGAACGGGAUUAGAUACCCCGGUAGUCCACGCCGUAAACGAUGUCAACUAGUUGUUGGUUCUAUUAAAAGAAUUAGUAACGAAGCUAACGCGAUAAGUUGACCG
This 718-nucleotide ribosomal RNA is filed under the name uncultured bacterium. Its description in RNAcentral is "bacterial SSU rRNA". It matches the Rfam family "Bacterial small subunit ribosomal RNA", at positions 161 to 871 of the family's 1533-position model. The record is from RNAcentral.